Molecule: ribosomal RNA, 500 nt
Filed under: uncultured bacterium
Lineage: Bacteria
Description: partial 16S ribosomal RNA
Rfam family: Bacterial small subunit ribosomal RNA
Source: RNAcentral
AUUGAACGCUGGCGGAAUGCUUUACACAUGCAAGUCGAACGGCAGCACGGACUUCGGUCUGGUGGCGAGUGGCGAACGGGUGAGUAAUACAUCGGAACGUGCCCAGUCGUGGGGGAUAACGUAGCGAAAGCUACGCUAAUACCGCAUACGAUCUAAGGAUGAAAGCGGGGGAUCGCAAGACCUCGCGCGAUUGGAGCGGCCGAUGGCAGAUUAGGUAGUUGGGGGGGUAAAGGCUCACCAAGCCGACGAUCUGUAGCUGGUCUGAGAGGACGACCAGCCACACUGGGACUGAGACACGGCCCAGACUCCUACGGGAGGCAGCAGUGGGGAAUUUUGGACAAUGGGCGCAAGCCUGAUCCAGCCAUUCCGCGUGCAGGAUGAAGGCCCUCGGGUUGUAAACUGCUUUUGUACGGAACGAAAAGGCUCUGGUUAAUACCCGGGGCUCAUGACGGUACCGUAAGAACAAGCACCGGCUAACUACGUGCCAGCAGCCGCAGUAA